Molecule: ribosomal RNA, 465 nt
Filed under: uncultured bacterium
Lineage: Bacteria
Description: partial 16S ribosomal RNA
Rfam family: Bacterial small subunit ribosomal RNA
Source: RNAcentral
CCUACGGGUGGCAGCAGUAGGGAAUAUUGCUCAAUGGGGGAAACCCUGAAGCAGCAACGCCGCGUGGAGGAUGAAGGUUUUAGGAUUGUAAACUCCUUUUGUUAGAGAAGAAAGUGCGUGAGAGUAACUGUUCACGUUUCGACGGUAUCUAACCAGAAAGCCACGGCUAACUACGUGCCAGCAGCCGCGGUAAUACGUAGGUGGCAAGCGUUAUCCGGAUUUAUUGGGCGUAAAGGGAACGCAGGCGGUCUUUUAAGUCUGAUGUGAAAGCCUUCGGCUUAACCGGGGUACUGCAUUGGAAACUGGCAGACUUGAGUGCAGGAGAGGAGAGUGGAACGCCAUGUGUAGCGGUGAAAUGCGUAGAUAUAUGGAAGAACACCAGUGGCGAAGGCGGCUCUCUGGUCUGUAACUGACGCUGAGGUUCGAAAGCGUGGGUAGCAAACAGGAUUAGAUACCCUUGUAGUC